GAGACUCUGUGCGCGUGCAUAUCAAUAAGCGGAGGAAAAGAAACUAACAAGGAUUCCCCUAGUAACGGCGAGUGAAGCGGGAAGAGCUCAAAUUUGAAAUCUUAAAGGGUUUCCCUUUACGAAUUGUAGUUUAAAGAAGUGUUUUCUGUUGGAGUUUCGGUAAAAGUUCUUUGGAAUAGGACAUCAUAGAGGGUGAGAAUCCCGUAUUUGACCGUUACUUUCCAGCUGUGUGAUACACUUUCAAAGAGUCGGACUGUUUGGGAAUGCAGUCCAAAAUGGGUGGUAAAUUUCAUCUAAAGCUAAAUAUUGGCGAGAGGCCGAUAGCGAACAAGUACCGUGAGGGAAAGAUGAAAAGAACUUUGAAAAGAGAGUUAAACAGUACGUGAAAUUGUCAAAAGGGAAGCGUUUGACACCAGUGUUGUUUUUCCGAAAAUCAAUUACGAAUGUUUUGUUUUUGAGGAGUUAUGACUUCAUCGGCUUGCUUCUCUCUUUACGAAACUUUCUUAAUGCACUUUUCGGUUAACAAGUCAACAUCAAUUUCUUUUGUUGUAAAAGGGUACGAGGAAGGUGGCUUUCUUUUCGGAGAAAGUGUUUAUAGCCUUGUGCUUCUACAAUCGGAGAGAUUGAGGUCUGCAGCGUAGAUCCUUCGGGGUUAGAUACGUAGAUGCUAAGUUAUAGUUUUUAUAGACAACUUGUUGACUAUGAUUAGUCAUGUAGCUUACUCGUUACGUGCUAUUUUACCUACGCUUAGGAUGUUGAACUCUAUCACACACAG
This 775-nucleotide ribosomal RNA is filed under the name uncultured Neocallimastigales. RNAcentral describes it as "partial large subunit ribosomal RNA". It matches the Rfam family "Eukaryotic large subunit ribosomal RNA", at positions 23 to 634 of the family's 3401-position model. The record is from RNAcentral. Lineage: Eukaryota; Fungi; Neocallimastigomycota; Neocallimastigomycetes; Neocallimastigales.